Molecule: ribosomal RNA, 227 nt
Filed under: uncultured bacterium
Lineage: Bacteria
Description: partial 16S ribosomal RNA
Rfam family: Bacterial small subunit ribosomal RNA
Source: RNAcentral
UAGGGAAUCUUCCACAAUGGACGCAAGUCUGAUGGAGCAACGCCGCGUGAGUGAAGAAGGUUUUCGGACCGUAAAGCUCUGUUGUUGGUGAAGAAGGAUAGAGGUAGUAACUGGCCUUUAUUUGACGGUAAUCAACCAGAAAGUCACGGCUAACUACGUGCCAGCAGCCGCGGUAAUACGUAGGUGGCAAGCGUUGUCCGGAUUUAUGGGCNUAAAAGCGAGCGCAG